UUGCCUUUGGUGAUGUAGCUGCUAGGAGAAGCUUACCUUUUCAUGUAGUAAACAAUGCUUUUGAGGGUGGGUGAUAGCACCAGAGUAGGAGGGGCCUCUUGGGGUACUAGGUGACAGCUUACAUGACCUGGCCUGAUCCUCUUGUCUCUGUUGCUGUGGCCCAGCCACUGGUGCUGAAUUCACCCAGGGUACGGAUGCUAAAGCCCAGGAGGCUGCAGGAGGAGUGGGUUGUGGACUUUGAGGAGGGUGUGGCUUAUAUAUCCCCAGGCCUCCAAAGUUUGCCACAGAGGACAGCUGCCUCAGAGUUCUCAAAUCACCCAUCAACCAACCCUGAUCUCAACUAGCCUUUCAGAUCCUCACCAAGGAUGGGACCCGAGCCAUCUCAGACGACAGCCUGCCUCUUGCAGGUUUGGAUUGGCUGCUAUCCCAGCUUCCUUGAGAUUGACUACCAUUCACUGUUUCUCCAGUUUUCCUCCGAGAAGACCUGGCCCUCACCCCCAUGUUCCACAGCCAUUUCUGGACCAGUGGAAGCUACAGAAGCCAAAGCCCAUCCAUAGGCUGUUGUGCCAGCCGAAGGAUUCCAUAAGGUGGUCUGAGGACCAGAACCACACUUUUGUACCUAUAGCUGACACUUAGUGUCCACUACGGAGGCAGACCCUCUUAUACUUCCAGCCCAAAGCGAGAGGUCAAGGGAAGCUGGAGCGUUAAACGGGAGAACUGAAUGUUCGUACGGAGGGAGGAGCACAGGGAAACAUCCCUCAUCCCUCCUCAUUCCUGCCAGAACCUGCCUGUGGCUCAUUCCUGCAGGGACCUUACAGGUGGUAGAUACUCAAAGCUAGGGCUUCCGUUGGCCACAUGGUAAACACCACACCCCUUGCCCUUCAAUGCUAUAGUCUCAGGGACUUUAAUUCAUCUCUCCCCCGCUUACCCUUUCAUGAAUGCCUGGCAUCCUUUCUCGCCUUCUCCAGUUUCAGCCUUUCCUGAAGCUCUGGUGUACCACUGGCCCUUAAAUUUGAGCAGUCCAGAAGAACACUUGUCAUAGAAUGCAGUGGCAUAGAUGCCAAAUGCCUCCUGAACUGGGCAUCCAGCCUAUAGCAGGUCUACAAUGAAAAAGAGCAACACAUGAAACAGAAAGAAAAGAGAGGAAAAGCAUGCUGGGAUGCUUAAGAUUGUGUCUGAGGCAAGUGAUGGAAAAGAGGCUGUAGCAAGAGAUCAACACUAUUCAAGAGAACCCCCCUGUUCUGAUUGGAAUAAGAGGAAAGAUGCC
Molecule: long non-coding RNA, 1267 nt
Organism: Mus musculus (house mouse)
Lineage: Eukaryota; Metazoa; Chordata; Mammalia; Rodentia; Muridae
Product: predicted gene, 35681
Exons: 3
Source: RefSeq, a predicted model, not a curated record